GCACUAUUUUUUUCCUCACUUGGUCAAUGAAUGCCAAUUUUAGACGAUCAUCGAAAUGAGUUCCAUGUGUGAAAAAGUGAGGCAAAAAGCAAUGCAGACAUACAUAUUGCAACUUAUUUCAAUUUUAUUGCGAGAGAUUUCAAUCAAAGGAGCCCCUGUAAUCAGUAAAUAAGCAACCAGGGUGUCUACUAAAACAGGCUGGUCAAAAACAAGUACUUUUACAGUACUUUUUCAGUGCAUUCUCAAGAAAUUCAGUACCUCCUCGACAGAAAAAUUCCGUACUUUUUCAGUACCCCCAUUUGACGGAAUUCGAAAAAUUUCAAAAAUUUGAAAUUGCGCCAAAAAUGACGAAAAAUUAAAAAAAAUUCCGGACCUUUUUGCGGAAUUUCCGCACUUUUUCAGUACUUCUGGACCGCCCUUAAAAAAUCAGUACUAUUUCCGGACUUUCCGGAAAAUCUGGACUUGUAGACACCCUGGGCAACGUGCACAAGACUCCGACCGAUAUUAAACAUUUUACCAGGUAAUUACAAUUAAUUACAAGCUGUGCCUCUGCGUCCAACCUCUUCCAUCGAUUUGUCUCAUUGUGCGGUGCAGGUUUUUAAGAAAUUUUAAAUUUGCACAGAGCUGCACGCUGAAUGACUCUCUCAGUUCCUUAAUGAUACUCGCGCGUGUUGUACAUGGAUCGCUAGUCCCGUUCCGCAAAAAUGUUUCAUCCAAAACCACGUUUCACGCUUUUUUCAGAUAAUGCGGGAGCCCUCACAAUCUGUGCACUUUCAGCGAGACGGCUCUAAUAGUUGCAGUUUAAACACUCGACCAAGAUGGACCUCAGUCUCAGUACCGUCAAGUAAGUGUUCGCUUAUCAGUAAUAUUCAAUGAGACGAGGCGCUUUAUUUUCGCGCCGGUUACGUAACUAUAAACAUACUAGCAGGAUGCGUAAUAGUCUCGCCUCUUCAGGUUUUUUAGCUCAGGUGGAACGUGCCAAAGCUAGCGUAGUUCCCAUCGUCUUGUUUAAAGUUUCCCGGACGAUUUAAGUAGGUCAAUUGGACGUAAUUCUAUCAAACGGAACUAUGUGCAUUAAGACAUGAGCCCUGAGACCCAUAAGAAUAUGUACAUAACAGGGCUCACGUCAUAAUGCACAUGGUUUCGUUUGACAGAAAUGCGUCCAAUUUAUCUUGAAAACUUUCUCGUGAUGAUGGUUUCAUCAAGACGAUACCUAUCGUGAACGAAGCACUUUGAUUGGAAUAAUUGUGAUGGUGAAUUUUCUGUAAGGAAAUUAAUCGUGAGUGUGUCACGUUUGGAGGAUUGGUUAAGUUUUAGACGGACUGAAAACAUCUAAGAUCCUCAAAACGAGCACUUGAAAUAGCAAGAAUUGUGGGAGAGCAAAGAAUUUAACGAAAUAGAUAAUGAACGAAAUGAUUGUAUUGUAGAGAAUUUGGAAUAAGCUAUAGAGUUACAAAAGGAGUCACACUUAAAUAAUGUGCCAUAAGGGCGAGAGAGGGCACAUCGUACAUGUACGGGUCAGAUGGUAAAAAUGGACCAAGAGAAACAGGCAGCACAAGCUUUUAUAGACUUGCUGACGUCACAGGUGGCGAGACAACAAGUCUACACGCUAUUGGCUGGCUAUAAUCAGUGGAGCUAUCAGUUGCAAGUUGAGUAAUAAAAGUAAUGGGUGAUGGCUGGAAGAUAGGGCUGAAAAAAACAGAAAUUGGAGAAAUCCAGCCAUCUCAAAUAAGUUACUGAAAAUGUAUGAGAAAUUUAGAAGUUAGAAAAAGGAGCAAGUUGCAGGUAAUGCAGUACCUGUGACAGAGUGCCAAUUUGUGAAAAAUAAUUUCAAUAAUGGAGGAGUCAGGUGAGAGUGAAGGCAAGACCCAUGAUACUUAGUGAUUCACAGUGGAUUUUUUUUUUUUUUUUUUUUUUUUUUUUUUGAAAAAAUGAAAGGAAAUUUAAUAUUUCGGAAAAUAAAUUGGUAGGUCAGGUCAAAACGGUUUUUAAGGGUAGUUGAAUGGCAAAAGACUCCAAAAAAGUAUGAAAAAUUUAAAAAUUU
RNAcentral lists this long non-coding RNA (2044 nucleotides) under Bemisia tabaci. RNAcentral's name for it is "lncRNA ENSSSA1NGG004133". Lineage: Eukaryota; Metazoa; Arthropoda; Insecta; Hemiptera; Aleyrodidae. The record is from RNAcentral.